CGCUAAUACCGCAUAUUCUGCGAGCAGGAAAGGCAGGGGAGUCGCAAGACCUUGCGCUCUGGGAGCGGCCGAUGUCGGAUUAGCUAGUUGGUGGGGUAAAGGCCUACCAAGGCGACGAUCCGUAGCGGGUCGUGAGAGGAUGAUCCGCCACACUGGGACUGAGACACGGUCCAGACUCCUACGGGAGGCAGCAGUGGGGAAUAUUGCGCAAUGGGCGAAAGCCUGACGCAGCCACGCCGCGUGAGCGAUGAAGGCCUUCGGGUCGUAAAGCUCUGUGGGGAGAGAAGAAUAAAGCCUGUGAAGAAUGGGCCUUGACGGUAUCUCCUUAGCAAGCACCGGCUAACUCCGUG
Molecule: ribosomal RNA, 350 nt
Filed under: uncultured bacterium
Lineage: Bacteria
Description: bacterial SSU rRNA
Rfam family: Bacterial small subunit ribosomal RNA
Source: RNAcentral